UACGUAGGGUGCGAGCGUUACUCGGAAUUACUGGCCGUAAAGCGUGCGCAGGCGGUUUGUUAGGUCUCAUGUGAAAGCCCCGAGCUUAACUUGAGAACUGCUUUUGAGACUGGCUCGCUAGAGUCCGUCAGAGGGGGGUAGAAUUCCACGUGUAGCAGUGAAAUGCGUAGAGAUGUGGAGGAAUAACAAUGGCGAAGGCAGCUCCCUGGGAUAAGACUGACGCUCAUGCACGAAAGCGUGGGGAGCAAACAGGAUUAGAUACCCUGGUAGUACACGCCCUAAACGAUGUCAACUGGUUGUUGGGCAACUUGAUUGUUCAGUAACGAAGCUAACGCGAGAAGUUGACCGCCUGGGGAGUACGGUCGCAAGAUUAAAAUUCAAAGGAAUUGACGGGGACCCGCACAAGCGGUGGAUGAUGUGGAUUAAUUCGAUGCAACGCGAAAAACCUUACCUACCCUUGACAUGUACGGAAGUCUGCUGAGAGGUGGAUGUGCCUGAAAGGGAACCGUAACACAGGUGCUGCAUGGCUGUUGUCACCUCGUGUCGUGAGAUGUUGGGUUAAGUCCCGCACCGAGCGCACCCCUUGCUAUUACUUGCCAUCAUUAAGUUGGGCACUUUAAUAGGACUGCUGGUGAUAAACCGGAGGAAGGUGGGGAUGACGUCAAGUCCUCAUGGCCCUUAUGGGUAGGGCUUCACACGUCAUACAAUGGCCGGUACAGAGGGAUGUCAACCCGCGAGGGGGAGCCAAUUUCAGAAAGCCGGUCGUAGUCCGGAUUCUUCUCUGCAACUCGAGAGCAUGAAGUCGGAAUCGCUAGUAAUCGCGGAUCAGCAUGUCGCGGAGAAUACGUUCCCAGGUGCU
This 859-nucleotide ribosomal RNA is filed under the name uncultured bacterium. Its description in RNAcentral is "bacterial SSU rRNA". It matches the Rfam family "Bacterial small subunit ribosomal RNA", at positions 524 to 1382 of the family's 1533-position model. The record is from RNAcentral.